Molecule: RNase P RNA, 401 nt
Filed under: Erythrobacter aureus
Lineage: Bacteria; Pseudomonadati; Pseudomonadota; Alphaproteobacteria; Sphingomonadales; Erythrobacteraceae
Also listed under: 2 other names
Description: Bacterial RNase P class A
Rfam family: Bacterial RNase P class A
About the family: Ribonuclease P (RNase P) is a ubiquitous endoribonuclease, found in archaea, bacteria and eukarya as well as chloroplasts and mitochondria. Its best characterised activity is the generation of mature 5'-ends of tRNAs by cleaving the 5'-leader elements of precursor-tRNAs.
Source: Rfam by way of RNAcentral
CCAGGGGGCCGGGCAGCCGCGUGACUUCGGUCACGAGGAAAGUCCGGGCUCCACGAAACAAGGGUGGCGGGUAACGCCCGCCGGACGCGAGUCCAGGGAAAGUGCCACAGAGAGCAUACCGCCGAUGGCCCCCUCGGGGGAUCAGGCAAGGGUGAAAGGGUGCGGUAAGAGCGCACCGGGGCUUCGGCAACGCAGCCCGCAUGGCAAACCCCACCCGGAGCAAGGCCGAAUAGGGGCGGCACGCUCGCGCAAGCGGGCAGGUGCGUUUCGCAUCGACCGCCCGGGUUGGCUGCUGGAGCUCUGGAGCAAUCCAGAGCCUAGACGAAUGGCUGCCUCCGCGUAGCUGGUGUGCAAGCAUACCGUGCGCGGGACAGAACCCGGCUUACAGGCCCCCUGGCAAU